AUGAGAAGAAGAAGACGACGACCGAACAGCUUGACGAUGCACGGCGAGAGGCGGAGCGAGCGAAGGCGAGCGCACGGGCGACGCAGGAGGAGGUCGCCGCGGCCAGGGAAGACGCGCGCGUGGCCAAGGCCGCGGUCCGGGCCACGGAGGCGCGGCUGGAGGCCGUGUUGCGGGAGGUACUCGCCGCUAAGGCGUCGGCGGAGACCGUCGCGGCCUUGGCGGACGCGCUGCUGCAGCAGCAGGACGCCACCAAGAGCGCGCAGGCCCAAGUCCCCGAAGACUGUCGGCGAGCAGGUGGCGGAGGCGAUGAGGCAGGUCAAGGAGGCCAAGGACGCGGAGGCGCGGAGCCAGGGGAAGCUAGCGAAGCUGGGGAGGGAGGCGGCAUGGGCGCCAUCUCCUGGUCGCACCGGCGCGUCCGGCCCAGCUGUAGGAGGAGCGCGUCGUGGUCGUGCUUCCGGUGGUGGCGCGCGUAGUCCGCCAGCCGGCCCCGGAGCUCCUUCAUCCUGUCGUCCCCCCCUCCUCCGCGUGUUGCCCCGGACCUGUGCGCGGCGCGGCAAGGGCGGCGGCGUGCCGGGCGCGGCGAGGCGAGGGCGGCGGCGUGCCGGGUGUGGCGAGGCGAGAGAUGGAGAAGAGAAGAGAGAAGAGUUGCAACCCUGCCGAGAGAGAGAGGAUGGGUGUAUGGAGGGGAGCACGUGGGUGGGCCAUGGAAGGAAAGGGAUGAGAGAGGGGAAGAGAGACGUUGGCAGGUGGGUCUGCGCAUGCAAAACGGCGAAUUAA
Molecule: ribosomal RNA, 777 nt
Filed under: Triticum aestivum (bread wheat)
Lineage: Eukaryota; Viridiplantae; Streptophyta; Magnoliopsida; Poales; Poaceae
Description: partial small subunit ribosomal RNA
Source: RNAcentral